Transfer RNA from Ovis aries (sheep), 73 nucleotides. It matches the Rfam family "tRNA". From Rfam's summary of the family: Transfer RNA (tRNA) molecules are approximately 80 nucleotides in length. NCBI's taxonomy places the organism in Eukaryota, Metazoa, Chordata, Mammalia, Artiodactyla, Bovidae. The record is from Rfam.
UCCCUGGUGGCUCAGAGGAUAAAGCGUCUGCCUGCAAUGCAGGAGACCUGGAUUCAAUCUCUGGGUUGGGGAG